RNAcentral lists this ribosomal RNA (479 nucleotides) under uncultured bacterium. RNAcentral's name for it is "partial 16S ribosomal RNA". It matches the Rfam family "Bacterial small subunit ribosomal RNA", at positions 28 to 523 of the family's 1533-position model. The record is from RNAcentral.
GACGAACGCUGGCGGCGUGCUUAACACAUGCAAGUCGAACGGUAAGGCCCUUCGGGGUACACGAGUGGCGAACGGGUGAGUAACACGUGGGUGAUCUGCCCUGCACUUCGGGAUAAGCCUGGGAAACUGGGUCUAAUACCGGAUAGGACUCCUGGCUUCACGGUGUGUGGUGGAAAGCUUUUGAGGUGUGGGAUGGGCCCGCGGCCUAUCAGCUUGUUGGUGGGGUAAUGGCCUACCAAGGCGACGACGGGUAGCGCGGCCUGGGAGGGUGACCGGCCACACUGGGACUGAGAUACGGCCCAGACUCCUACGGGAGGCAGCAGUGGGGAAUAUUGCACAAUGGGCGCAAGCCUGAUGCAGCGACGCCGCGUGAGGGAUGACGGCCUUCGGGUUGUAAACCUCUUUCAGUAGGGACGAAGCGCAAGUGACGGUACCUACAGAAGAAGGACCGGCCAACUACGUGCCAGCCGCCGCGGUAA